RNAcentral lists this ribosomal RNA (551 nucleotides) under uncultured eukaryote. Its description in RNAcentral is "bacterial SSU rRNA". It matches the Rfam family "Eukaryotic small subunit ribosomal RNA", at positions 326 to 872 of the family's 1831-position model. The record is from RNAcentral.
CGGCGGGGUAGAGGCCCGCCGCGGUAACGACGGGUAACGGGGAAUCAGGGUUCGAUUCCGGAGAGGGAGCCCGAGAAACGGCUACCACUUCCAAGGAAGGCAGCAGGCGCGCAACUUACCCUAAUCUCGAUUCGAGGAGGUAGUGACAAGAAAUACCGAUGCGGGGACCCUACGGGGUGCCGCGUUCGGAAUGAGUACGAUUCGAACCACCUAACGAGGAACGAUCGGAGGGCAAGUCUGGUGCCAGCAGCCGCGGUAAUUCCAGCUCCAAUAGCGUACGUUAAAAGUUGCUGCAGUUAAAAAGCUCGUAGUUGAACGUUCGGGUUCCGCGGGACGGGGCCGCCCCGCGAGGGACGGCGCCGCCCCGGGGCUCGUGAUAUCUCAUCUCGCCGCCCGUCGCGAGGCGGACGGAGGGAUGGAUGAGGUUACCUGGAAAAAAUCGGGGCGAUCUAGGCGGGCGAACCUCGCCAACGAACGAUCGGACAUGGGAUAACGGAAGAGGGCGUCGGCUCGACUUCGUCGGUUCCUCGGGCCGAGGCACGUACGGUGAA